CGGGGAGUGGCGCAGCGGUAGCGCACCUGCUUUGGGGGCAGGCGGUCGGCGGUUCGAAUCCGCCCUCCCCGA
Molecule: transfer RNA, 72 nt
Filed under: Actinomycetes bacterium
Lineage: Bacteria; Bacillati; Actinomycetota; Actinomycetes
Also listed under: 2 other names
Description: Actinobacteria bacterium (rhizosphere metagenome) tRNA-Pro
Rfam family: tRNA
About the family: Transfer RNA (tRNA) molecules are approximately 80 nucleotides in length. Their secondary structure includes four short double-helical elements and three loops (D, anti-codon, and T loops).
Source: RNAcentral